RNAcentral lists this long non-coding RNA (438 nucleotides) under Selaginella moellendorffii. Its description in RNAcentral is "long non-coding RNA (SMOE_LNC000960)". Lineage: Eukaryota; Viridiplantae; Streptophyta; Lycopodiopsida; Selaginellales; Selaginellaceae. The record is from RNAcentral.
CUGGUCACCGAAUGGCUUGCAUCGCAUCCUCCUGGCGAUAGAACUCUCAGCCAAGGCCUGAAGGUAAGAACGAAAACCCAAAAAACGUUUUUUGCUUCGUUCGAACUAAUAAAAACUGUGCUUUUCAGGGAGAUCCAACUUACCUCGUUGUUGAGAACGAUGGAACGUUGGCACCAUAUGCAAUUAACGCUGUUUGCACGCAUCUCGGAUGUGUGGUUCCCUGGAACAAAGCGGAGAACAAGUUUAUCUGUCCUUGCCACGGUUCUCAAUACAACAACCAGGGAAGAGUCGUCCGAGGUCCUGCACCAUUGGUAAGUUCAGAACCAAGAAUAUGAAUCAAGGAGCUAACCUGUGUACUUGAAAACUUGCAGUCACUAGCGUUGGCUCACUGUGACGUCGACAGCAACAAAGUUAUUUUGAGCCUCUGGCCCGAGACGG